CACUACAUAGCCCCAACUGACCUGGAACAUGGUGUGUAGGCCAGGCUGGCCUCAAACGUGCAUCAAUCCUCCUGCCUGUUUCCUGAAGAUUCCAUGCUGGGAUUACAGGCCGUUUGGUGUUCCAGAGGCCUUCUUGGGAGGUCUCCUCUGCAUCUCAGAAGCAGCCUGCGCAAGGACUAAGUGCAGACUAGGCAAAGUACACAGAAUUCACCUGGUCGGAGGAAAGAAGCCACUCCCACAGCUGUCCUUUGACUUCCACACAUGUGCAUGGCAUGGGCAUACCAAUAUAUAUACAAAAAUACAAAAAGUA
Mastomys coucha (southern multimammate mouse) is the source of this 310-nucleotide long non-coding RNA. RefSeq lists it as uncharacterized. The transcript has 3 exons. NCBI's taxonomy places the organism in Eukaryota, Metazoa, Chordata, Mammalia, Rodentia, Muridae. The record is from RefSeq and is a predicted model, not a curated record.